RNAcentral lists this ribosomal RNA (320 nucleotides) under uncultured eukaryote. RNAcentral's name for it is "partial 18S ribosomal RNA". It matches the Rfam family "Eukaryotic small subunit ribosomal RNA", at positions 1470 to 1796 of the family's 1831-position model. The record is from RNAcentral.
CCCUUAGAUGUUCUGGGCCGCACGCGCGCUACACUGAACAGUUCAACAAGUCUUAACCUUGGCCGAUAGGUCUGGGUAAUCUUUGAACGCUGUUCGUGAUUGGGAUAGACCUUUGCAAUUAUGGGUCUUCAACGAGGAAUUCCUAGUAAACGCAAGUCAUCAGCUUGCAUUGAUUACGUCCCUGCCCUUUGUGCACACCGCCCGUCGCACCUACCGAUUGAAUGGUCCGGUGAAAUCUCGGGACGGCGGCUUGGUCGCUUGCGUCCGACUGCUGAAACUUGAUUAAACCAUAUCAUUUAGAGGAAGGUGAAGUCGUAACA